GAUCCUGGCUCGGGAUGAACGCUAGCGACAGGCUUAACACAUGCAAGUCGAGGGGCAUCAUGAGGUAGCAAUACCUUGAUGGCGACCGGCGCACGGGUGAGUAACGCGUAUGCAACCUGCCCGAUACCGGGGUAUAGCCCAUGGAAACGUGGAUUAACACCCCAUAGUACUUUAUCCUGCAUGGGAUGUGAGUUAAAUGUUCAAGGUAUCGGAUGGGCAUGCGUCCUAUUAGUUAGUUGGG
RNAcentral lists this ribosomal RNA (241 nucleotides) under uncultured bacterium. RNAcentral's name for it is "partial 16S ribosomal RNA". It matches the Rfam family "Bacterial small subunit ribosomal RNA", at positions 15 to 253 of the family's 1533-position model. The record is from RNAcentral.